Hemicordylus capensis (graceful crag lizard) is the source of this 625-nucleotide long non-coding RNA. RefSeq lists it as uncharacterized. The transcript is spliced from 3 exons. Lineage: Eukaryota; Metazoa; Chordata; Lepidosauria; Squamata; Cordylidae. The record is from RefSeq and is a predicted model, not a curated record.
AUUAUCAUUGCAGUCUGUUUCAGAAGAGGCAGUUUUUGCUGAAUCAGGCUGUGACCUAAAUGAGAUUAAAAAAUGAAUUUAUUGGCAUGCCCCAAUUACUAUGGAGAGAAAUACAUUGCCCCAAAAAAAAGAAAGAAAGAAAGAAAGGCAGCCAAAAUAGCAGAUCCCAACAGUUGCCUGUAACAGUUGUGGUUGUAUUACUGUCAUGCAACUAUAGCUUAUAAAAUGGACAUGGGAAAGAGGUUUCUUCUGUGUUAAAUAGCAUGAGCACUAUGGAGGCUAGAAGUGGAGUUUCCUUCUCAUUCUGGGAUCCAAAACAGCAACUAAUGAUGUGCUUUGUUUCCACACUGUAGCAUUAAGGUCUCAGCUUUCAACCUGUCUUGUAACUUUAUAGCAGGGAGGGUCCUGGAAGAGCAGCUGGAGAAGUGGAAGGCAGAAAUCAGCCAAAUGGAAGGGAAGGAAGUUCUUCAAAAUAUUCCCAGAUAGGAUCUCUCUUACACCUAGAAGCCAUGACAGUUUUUCUGCAGCAAGCAGUGAGUUUGAACCCUGGCAGAAUAUUCAUUCAUUCAGUCCACCAGCUAUACGAUGAAGUGGUGCAGUUCCAGAAACCUUUUCUGAAAGACUG